Molecule: ribosomal RNA, 328 nt
Filed under: uncultured eukaryote
Lineage: Eukaryota
Description: partial 18S ribosomal RNA
Rfam family: Eukaryotic small subunit ribosomal RNA
Source: RNAcentral
CCCUUAGAUGUUCUGGGCUGCACGCGCGCUACACUGACACGUUCAACGAGUUGUUGCCUGGGCCGAGAGGUUUGGGAAAUCUUUUGAAAUCGUGUCGUGAUAGGGAUAGAUUAUUGCAAUUAUUAAUCUUCAACGAGGAAUUCCUAGUAAGCGCAAGUCAUAAGCUUGCGUUGAUUACGUCCCUGCCCUUUGUACACACCGCCCGUCGCUACUACCGAUUGAACGUUUUAGUGAGGUAUUUGGACUGGACCUUCGGAGGUUCGCGCCUCCGUUGCUGUUCGGGAAGACUCCCAAACUUGAGCGUUUAGAGGAAGUAAAAGUCGUANCA